Long non-coding RNA from Canis lupus familiaris (dog), 1234 nucleotides. RefSeq lists it as uncharacterized. Lineage: Eukaryota; Metazoa; Chordata; Mammalia; Carnivora; Canidae. The record is from RefSeq and is a predicted model, not a curated record. The transcript is spliced from 2 exons.
AAAAGCAGCUUGAGAAAGGUCCCUGCCACCCUCUGCCACGUGAGGUUACAGUGAGAAGAUGACCAUCUAGGAAGAAGUGAAUCCUCACCAGACACUGGAUCUGCUGGCACUUUGAUCUUGGACUUCCCAGCCUCCAGAACUAUACUGAAACUCCUGGAAAUUGAAGUCAAAAUCAUCAUCAUAAGCCAGUAAUCUCAUUUCCUCCCCCUUUCGAAAAUGACGGAGCCUGAUGCCCCUGCCAGCCAGGUGAGCAUGGAGAAGAACAGCAAACACAUGGAUUCCACUUGGCUUUUCAGCUUCCAGAGCCUACAGGCAGGGCACACAGAGGAAGACACAAUUAGCCCAAACAAGCACAUGUUCAGACAGUUCACCAUAAAAGAGCCUUGGAUCGACAACUGAGAAGACAAUCUAAAGCAAUUUAAGUGAAUGCUUGAGCCGCCACACAUUUUGAAUUUGGAUCUUUCAUGACUUAUUCCUAGUAGUGUUAUCUUUGUGAAAUAACAUUUUGUGGGCAGAAAAGAAGGGGAACUAAUGCUUACUGAGAACCUACUGGACCACUCCUAAAUGUUAUCUUUCUUUUAGGAGGUAAAGAGGCAAUCAAAGCUCCUGGCAAAAAUGAUUCCAGUUAUGUUAGUAACCUGUAAAUAGAAACUCUUCAAAGGGGAAAUUAUUCUCACUUUCUGAGAUAAGAAAACCAAGUAGAAGAGGUGGUCAGGAAGUAAAACAUCCUGGGAGUUAUUAUUGUCCAGAAUUCUACUCCUACAGCCUUCAGGAUUUAAAAAAAGCAAUCAAAGGUCUUGCCACAAUGAUAAGUAAUGACUUUACAUCAUGAUAAUGAGAAAAAGAUUAAUAACAAGUAUGAGAUUUUCCAAACAUAGUUUUCUAAGAGCACUGAUUAAUCUAUAAAUAGCAGCUCACAGACUCAGAAGCUCCACAUACCUCUUCUAGGCAUUCCAGAGUGCAGUGACCCUCAGACCGGAAUUCAGGCAUCCCUGGAGGGAUGGUAUGGAAGAGGCUUACCCAGAGGCCAGCCUCAAUCACUCCAGCAUCAUACUUCCUUAUAUCUGUCGUAUGAAAUAACCUCAGCCCAGAAUUAUCUAUUAAACCUGGAAUAAGAACAUAUAAUUAAAAGUGAGUUUGAGUUCUUAAAAAAAAAAAAGUUCUCUACAUUCAGGUGAAAUAGAUUUACAAAUUUUCUUUACAAUCUCACAAAGGAAAGAAUUACAAAUAAAAA